AUGCUUAUCCGGCAGGGUAGAUACCAUGAUCAUGAAGGUGGUUUCCCCAGAGCGAGGCUCACCCAUUGAACUCCGGGUGUGCUGACCCCUGCGAUUUCUUCAAAUGUGGGAAACUCGACUGCAUAAUUUGUGGUAGUCAGGAACUGAGUUCGUGCUCUCCCCUG
This is a small nuclear RNA of Suncus etruscus (white-toothed pygmy shrew), 164 nucleotides long. RefSeq annotates it as U1 spliceosomal RNA. The transcript has a single exon. The record is from RefSeq and is a predicted model, not a curated record. Lineage: Eukaryota; Metazoa; Chordata; Mammalia; Eulipotyphla; Soricidae.